Molecule: ribosomal RNA, 253 nt
Filed under: uncultured bacterium
Lineage: Bacteria
Description: partial 16S ribosomal RNA
Rfam family: Bacterial small subunit ribosomal RNA
Source: RNAcentral
UACAGAGGUCUCAAGCGUUGUUCGGAUUCAUUGGGCGUAAAGGGUGCGUAGGUGGCGCUGUAAGUCGGGUGUGAAAUUUCGGAGCUUAACUCCGAAACUGCAUUCGAUACUGCGGUGCUUGAGGACUGGAGAGGAGACUGGAAUUCAUGGUGUAGCAGUGAAAUGCGUAGAGAUCAUGAGGAAGACCAGUGGCGAAGGCGGGUCUCUGGACAGUUCCUGACACUGAGGCACGAAAGCGUGGGGAGCAAGACGG